Molecule: non-coding RNA, 425 nt
Organism: Myodes glareolus (Bank vole)
Lineage: Eukaryota; Metazoa; Chordata; Mammalia; Rodentia; Cricetidae
Source: RefSeq, a predicted model, not a curated record
AUAUUCCUGCAGGUGGUCACAUGCCAGGAGCAGACGUUGACGCUGCCCUUAGCCCAGUGCCAGGAUUUCCAAAGGACUCAGAGAUCAGACCCUCAGCUUCUGCUCUGCUGGAUUCCUCUGCCUUCCGGAAGGAAGUUACUAGUCAUCUUCCUGGUGUGUGACUCCUGAGAAAAUUCAGAUUUCCUGGAGAACGUUUUAAAGGUCUAAUAGCUGAAGAAAAGGACACAAGUAUCUUUGGAUCCUCCUGCCAGGAUGGACAGAGCUGUAAUGUUUGCUUAUAUUUCAGCUCCACCUGCUCCUUAUUGUGUCUGUCUUCACCAUGCAGCUACUGAAGAAAAAAGACGCCAGAACCUUACUGAGGCCUCUCCAAAAGGUCACAGAGCAGCUCACAUCAUGGAAGCCAGCUGAUGUCGGAGGAACAGUCG